GCGAGUGAAGCGGCAACAGCUCAAAUUUGAAAGCUGGCUCCGGCCCGCAUUGUAAUUUGCAGAGGAUGCUUCUGGCAAGGUGCCUUCCGAGUUCCCUGGAACGGGACGCCAUAGAGGGUGAGAGCCCCGUAUGGAUGGACACCAAGCCUGUGUGAAGCUCCUUCAACGAGUCGAGUAGUUUGGGAAUGCUGCUCAAAAUGGGAGGUAAAUCUCUUCUAAAGCUAAAUACCGGCCAGAGACCGAUAGCGCACAAGUAGAGUGAUCGAAAGAUGAAAAGCACCUUGAAAAGGGGGUUAAACAGUACGUGAAAUUGUUGAAAGGGAAGCGCUUGUGACCAGACUUGCGCCGGGCGGCUCAUCAGGGGUUCUCCCCUGUGCACUCCGCCCGGCUCAGGCCAGCAUCGGUUCUCGUGGGGGGAUAAGAACGGUGGGAACGUGGCCCCCCUCCGGGGGGGUGUUAUAGCCCACCGUACGAUACUCUCGCGGGGACCGAGGUUCGCGCUCCGCAAGGAUGCUGGC
RNAcentral lists this ribosomal RNA (518 nucleotides) under Cytospora sibiraeae. RNAcentral describes it as "eukaryotic LSU rRNA". It matches the Rfam family "Eukaryotic large subunit ribosomal RNA", at positions 89 to 630 of the family's 3401-position model. Lineage: Eukaryota; Fungi; Ascomycota; Sordariomycetes; Diaporthales; Cytosporaceae. The record is from RNAcentral.